This 468-nucleotide unclassified non-coding RNA is filed under the name Mycolicibacterium fortuitum. Its description in RNAcentral is "contains 16S-23S intergenic spacer region". The stretch from base 1 to 61 matches the Rfam family "Bacterial small subunit ribosomal RNA", at positions 1473 to 1533 of the family's 1533-position model. The record is from RNAcentral. Lineage: Bacteria; Bacillati; Actinomycetota; Actinomycetes; Mycobacteriales; Mycobacteriaceae.
GAUUGGGACGAAGUCGUAACAAGGUAGCCGUACCGGAAGGUGCGGCUGGAUCACCUCCUUUCUAAGGAGCACCACGAAAAGGGUUGAGACACUGGGUCUUACCCGAGCCGUGAGGAACCGGUUGCCUGUAGUGGGCACGGUUUGGUGCACAACAAACUUUUUUGACUGCCAGACACACUAUUGGGCUUUGAGACAACAGGCCCGUGCCCCUUUUGGGGGGUGGCAUCCGGUUGCGGGUGUCGGCGUGUUGUUGCCUCACUUUGGUGGUGGGGUGUGGUGUUUGAUUUGUGGAUAGUGGUUGCGAGCAUCUAGCACGCAGUGUGGCUGGGGGCCUUCGGGUUUCCGGUCUUGUUGUGUGUUGAUGUGCAAUUUCUUUUGAAACUCAUUUUUGGUUUUUGUGUUGUAAGUGUUUAAGGGGCGCAUGGUGGAUGCCUUGGCACUGGGAGCCGAUGAAGGACGUGGGAGGCU